CAGCAGUGGGGAAUUUUCCGCAAUGGGCAAAGUGUGACGGAGCUGACCGCGUGAGUGAAGAAGGCCUUCGGGGUGUAAACAUCUUUUAUAGGGGAGGAAGUUUAUUGACGUUACCCUAUGAAUAACACCGGGCAAACCUCCUAACUCUGUG
This 151-nucleotide ribosomal RNA is filed under the name uncultured bacterium. Its description in RNAcentral is "partial 16S ribosomal RNA". It matches the Rfam family "Bacterial small subunit ribosomal RNA", at positions 349 to 519 of the family's 1533-position model. The record is from RNAcentral.